RNAcentral lists this ribosomal RNA (153 nucleotides) under Wolbachia endosymbiont of Anopheles arabiensis. RNAcentral's name for it is "partial 16S ribosomal RNA". It matches the Rfam family "Bacterial small subunit ribosomal RNA", at positions 1046 to 1192 of the family's 1533-position model. Lineage: Bacteria; Pseudomonadati; Pseudomonadota; Alphaproteobacteria; Rickettsiales; Anaplasmataceae. The record is from RNAcentral.
UGUUGCUGGCUGUCGUCAGCUCGUGUCGUGAGAUGUUGGGUUAAGUCCCGCAACGAGCGCAACCCUCAUCCUUAGUUGCCAUCAGGUAAUGCUGAGUACUUUAAGGAAACUGCCAGUGAUAAGCUAGAGGAAGGUGGGGAUGAUGUCAAGUCA